AGGCAGUAACAGCAUCAGACCCUUACCUUGGCUUCCAUGCCACCCAUGCCUACUCUUGACUUGGUUCCAAAGGUCACAGACUGCUGAUCUCCGGGAUAAAAUAUAUCAAUGAGCUUUGCGUCAUCUGACCCUGGGGGGCUGUCAAAGAGACCUAAAAAGUAGACAAGAUCGGAAGAGCACACGUCUAACU
This is a long non-coding RNA of Leopardus geoffroyi (Geoffroy's cat), 190 nucleotides long. RefSeq lists it as uncharacterized. NCBI's taxonomy places the organism in Eukaryota, Metazoa, Chordata, Mammalia, Carnivora, Felidae. The record is from RefSeq and is a predicted model, not a curated record. The transcript is spliced from 3 exons.